UUGGCGGGGUAACGGCCCACCAAGGCAGCGACGGGUAGCUGGUGUGAGAGCAUGACCAGCCACACUGGGACUGAGACACGGCCCAGACUCCUACGGGAGGCAGCAGUGGGGAAUCUUGCGCAAUGGGCGAAAGCCUGACGCAGCGACGCCGCGUGAGGGAUGAAGGCCUUCGGGUUGUAAACCUCUUUCAGCGGGGACGAAGCGAAAGUGACGGUACCCGCAGAAGAAGCCCCGGCCAACUACGUGCCAGCAGCCGCGGUAAUACGUAGGGGGCUAGCGUUGUCCGGAUUUAUUGGGCGUAAAGAGCUCGUAGGCGGCUUUGUAAGUCGGACGUGAAAUCCCACGGCUUAACUGUGGGGCGCCGUUCGAUACUGCGAGGCUAGAGGCCGGUAGGGGGACGUGGAAUUCCUGGUGUAGCGGUGAAAUGCGCAGAUAUCAGGAGGAACACCGGUGGCGAAGGCGGCGUCCUGGGCCGGUCCUGACGCUGAGGAGCGAAAGCUGGGGGAGCAAACAGGAUUAGAUACCCUGGUAGUCCCAGCCGUAAACGAUGGGUGCUAGGUGUGGGAGGCUAUCGACGCUUUCCGUGCCGCAGCUAACGCAUUAAGCACCCCGCCUGGGGAGUACGGGCGGCCUAUCAGCUUGUUGGUGGGGUGAUGGCCUACCAAGGCGACGACGGGUAGCCGGCCCGAGAGGGUGUCCGGCCACACUG
This 709-nucleotide ribosomal RNA is filed under the name uncultured bacterium. Its description in RNAcentral is "bacterial SSU rRNA". The stretch from base 1 to 614 matches the Rfam family "Bacterial small subunit ribosomal RNA", at positions 249 to 873 of the family's 1533-position model. The record is from RNAcentral.